This is a non-coding RNA of Paramuricea clavata, 294 nucleotides long. Lineage: Eukaryota; Metazoa; Cnidaria; Anthozoa; Malacalcyonacea; Plexauridae. The record is from the annotation of a GenBank genome assembly.
CAGCGGAGAAUUGCGUAUAGUGAUAGCUAUACCGGUGUUCAAUUUUCUCAAAGAACCGUUCAAUGGGUAUAUUUGCUCAAAACCCAUUUCACUAGGCGAAUUUGUUCACUCAAAGCGACCGCCUUUGUCGGCAUCGUUUAUCAUGUCAAUAAAAACGAUGCUGACGAAGGAAAAUGUUGCUUUGCGACAGCAAUCUUACCAAGUAGAAGCUAUUAUCACUGCAAUAUAUCACCACUAAGGAAGCUAUACUGCAAGUUAUGUCGACGAAUUAGGGAGAGAAUGUUCUCAGUAUGC